UUUCCGUAGGUGAACCUGCGGAAGGAUCAUUAGUGAAUUGAAUAUGUUAGCGGACCUCUUCGGAGUCCCUAGCAUCAAAUCAUAUCCAUAACACCUGUGAACUGUAAGGCUGUCUUGAAAACGAAAGUGAUUAGAGCGCCUGCCCAUUUUAUACAAACAUUAAAGUAACAAACGUAGUCUUAUUAUAAUCUAAUAAACUUUCAACAACGGAUCUCUUGGCUCUC
Molecule: unclassified non-coding RNA, 224 nt
Filed under: plant metagenome
Description: partial contains small subunit ribosomal RNA, internal transcribed spacer 1, and 5.8S ribosomal RNA
Source: RNAcentral